RNAcentral lists this ribosomal RNA (403 nucleotides) under uncultured prokaryote. Its description in RNAcentral is "bacterial SSU rRNA". It matches the Rfam family "Bacterial small subunit ribosomal RNA", at positions 355 to 774 of the family's 1533-position model. The record is from RNAcentral.
UGGGGAAUCAUAGUCAAUGGGCGAAAGCCUGAUCCAGCAACGCCGCGUGCGCGAUGACGGCCUUCGGGUUGUAAAGCGCUUUUAGAGGAGAUGAGAAAGGACAGUAUCCUCUGAAUAAGCCUCGGCGAACUACGUGCCAGCAGCCGCGGUAAAACGUAGGAGGCUAGCGUUAUCCGGAUUUAUUGGGCGUAAAGCGCGUGCAGGCGGUCUGGUAAGUUGGAUGUGAAAGCUCCUGGCUUAACUGGGAGAGGUCGUUCAAUACUGUCAGACUAGAGAAUGGGAGAGGGAGGUGGAAUUCCGGGUGUAGUGGUGAAAUGCGUAGAUAUCCGGAGGAACACCAGUGGCGAAAGCGGCCUCCUGGACCACUUCUGACGCUAAGACGCGAAAGCUAGGGUAGCAAACG